This is a long non-coding RNA of Grus americana (Whooping crane), 908 nucleotides long. RefSeq lists it as uncharacterized. Lineage: Eukaryota; Metazoa; Chordata; Aves; Gruiformes; Gruidae. The transcript is spliced from 3 exons. The record is from RefSeq and is a predicted model, not a curated record.
UAGGUUUUGUUUGCCUGCUCUCCUGUGAGAAAACUGUCAGGAGAAGAAAAACAGAAAAAUGCUAAACAUAUUCCGAGCAAUGUAACUGAUUAUACAAAAUACUGUCCUUCUGGGACCUGCUUAUAUUAGGUUAAAUCUGACUUUCAGAAGAUGAACAGCGGGUUUUCAAUUAUGGCAUUUGAGACCUCCAGAGUGGGGAUUAUGAGAAGAUAGCGUAACUCAGAUGGCCCUUUUAAGACAUGCUUUUUAUUCAGCAACAGGAUGAAGCCUCAGACUGGUCCUCUUGCAAGCGCUCCAGCACGGGUCAUAUUUCUUCAAAGGGACAGAAUUCAUAACCCGCGACUCGAACAAUGGGAAGGCUUGUUUAAGAAUAACUCAGGAUACAACACAUUUUAAGCGUGGUGAGGGAUGCAAACAGGAACAGGAAAGAAGCAGCAGAUCUCUCCUCCUUUAUGAGUGAAGCUCAGCUCCUGCAGCCAAGAAGCACUCGUGGUGAUACUGCACUUGCUGAGGUGCAAGAGGAGGCAGAGCUCUGCCUGAGCAAAGGUUUACAAGUGAAGUCCUAACAUCUGGUAUUUAACUGAAAAGAGCAAGACGCGGAAGUACUGGGAUAUCUACCUGGCCUGCUGCUGCCUCCCUUUCCUUUCCAAAUGCAGCUGCUGGGAACCACCCAACCAUGAUCAGCUUCCAGGGCUGGCUGGAUAAAUUGUCCUCCCAAGAAAAACGAAGAUACGAUCUCUAGAUACGCUUGUUCCUCCUCUCCCUGCUAUCUUUUACCCCAAACACACCAUUUGUUGUUGCAGUUUCUGGUUUCAGUGUUUCCAAACAUACAAAAUUCAUUUUAAAUGUGAUCCAAAAGGACUUGUGCCAUGUGUUGUAAACAUCCAUUUAACUCAGAGCUGAGAGCU